Astatotilapia calliptera (eastern happy) is the source of this 1206-nucleotide long non-coding RNA. The record is from Ensembl. NCBI's taxonomy places the organism in Eukaryota, Metazoa, Chordata, Actinopteri, Cichliformes, Cichlidae.
CUGUCACAAGGGCAGGAAAACAGGGCAAGUUCCGUCUUCAAAUCAAUUUAAAUUCAGCCAAGGAGUGCAACCAGUGGCUCUGAAGAAUGACUGAGACCCCCAGCCUUCACCACAGCCGGUAUAAAUCAGACCUGGAGCCAGGACUUUUACCAUACUGAGCAAUGCAUCUGCAUUGCUUAACCCAAGACCCCUCUGCAGACCUAAUGAUGGCCGAGGCUCAUUCCAAGACACCAGGUGGCCCAACUGGCCCAGAUCGACUCCUGUGUCUGCGUUAGGAAAGAGCAUCAUACUUUAUUAUCAGAGGAAGCAAGAGAAACAGGCUCCCCAAUUUAUCUUGUCUUCUCACAAAAGGGUUUCAUUUUGCUCUUUUUCUCUAUCUUAAAUGUUUUAACACCAAGAGGAUGUUUAUAUGCUCUUAGCCUUAAAACAGAUGGUAAACUAUUUGGUGGAGUUUGUUUUGUUUUCCACAUAAAAUUUAUCUGCAUUUACUGUUUCAGCUUACAGAGAAGGGGGCAGUUAAAUGCGGCUUUUUCCAAGGGCAUUUUUUCUUUGUUUGCUAAAUAUAGCCACACUUUUAUUCUAUUGGCAGCAAUUAUGAUUCCUUAGUCUGUAAGUGUUUACUGAUUUAAAAGACGUUCUUUCUCCGAGAGCCAGAGGGAUCAAGGUUAGCUUUUUUUUAUCGCUUUCAGCCAUCUUGUUUUCAUUACUUUGGGCACGGUUGUGCGCACACCUCACCUGCAACAUUGCUUUCUUAAUAGUACAAACAGGCAUGUGCAUGGUGUCUGAUAAAAUGGCAUCUACAAAUAUUUUACAGGAGCUUGUUCAACACGCUUCCACGACAUUUAUGCACUUAGAUAUGAUUUGUUGUUAUGUGUCUUCACCAAUGUUCCCUCUAAUUUUUCAUGUUUCUGAGCGAACACACAAACUCCCUGAGCGGUCCCUUGGACCACUGUGAGCGACAUCAGACGUGUGCACUGUGGUCACGCCAGCAUUGAAGUUACACGGUUUAUUAAAAAUAAUCAAAUUACAGCAUUUACAUUUAUGUUAGACUACUUUUAAUUAACUGCUUUAGCCCACUUACAAAUAAUCUUGUUCAUGACCUGUGUAGCAUGUUAACACUAUUGGAAGUAAAAAUAACUUGAACUCCAAUUUUGAAAACACAACUUUCUUUUUUCUAUUUGUAUAAAGCUCUGACUUGUAUUCUGA